This 301-nucleotide ribosomal RNA is filed under the name uncultured bacterium. RNAcentral describes it as "partial 16S ribosomal RNA". It matches the Rfam family "Bacterial small subunit ribosomal RNA", at positions 509 to 807 of the family's 1533-position model. The record is from RNAcentral.
CAGUAGCCGCGGGAAUACGAAGGGGGCUAGCGUUGUUCGGAAUUACUGGGCGUAAAGCGCACGUAGGCGGAUCGAUCAGUCAGGGGUGAAAUCCCAGGGCUCAACCCUGGAACUGCCUUUGAUACUGUCGAUCUGGAGUAUGGAAGAGGUGAGUGGAAUUCCGAGUGUAGAGGUGAAAUUCGUAGAUAUUCGGAGGAACACCAGUGGCGAAGGCGGCUCACUGGUCCAUUACUGACGCUGAGGUGCGAAAGCGUGGGGAGCAAACAGGAUUAGAUACCCCUGUAGUCCCUGUCUCUUAUAC